GAUGAAGAACGUAGCGAUAUGCGAUAAGUAGUGUGAAUUGCAGAAUUCAGUGAAUCAUCGAAUCUUUGAACGCACAUUGCGCCUCCUGGUAUUCCGGGAGGCAUGCCUGUCCGAGCGUCAUGCAAAAACAUAAAUCUCUCGAGGUUUGUUUUGAGGGAUGAGCCCUGGCUCCCCCUAGAAUUCCAGAGGCGGACUCAAAGGAAAUUGGGGUGUAGGUCGUAGUAAAAGAAAUUUUUCUCGCCAUCAACCUUGUCCAGAAGGUCCAGCCGUAACAUAUAUAAUAACUCUGUUUUUGACCUCGGAUCAGGUAGGGAUACCCGCUGAACUUAAGCAUAUCAAUAAGCGGAGGA
RNAcentral lists this unclassified non-coding RNA (350 nucleotides) under soil metagenome. RNAcentral describes it as "partial contains 5.8S ribosomal RNA, internal transcribed spacer 2, and large subunit ribosomal RNA". The stretch from base 1 to 120 matches the Rfam family "5.8S ribosomal RNA", at positions 35 to 154 of the family's 154-position model. The record is from RNAcentral.